The sequence is a ribosomal RNA, 620 nucleotides long. The stretch from base 214 to 367 matches the Rfam family "5.8S ribosomal RNA".
UGGGAAGGAUCAUUAACGAGUUUUGAAAGGGGUUGUAGCUGGCCUUCCGAGGCAUGUGCACGCCCUGCUCAUUCCACUCUACACCUGUGCACUUACUGUGGGUCUCAGGCGAGCGUCGGUCGCUUCGCGGCGUCGUCGUUCAACUGGGCUCACGUUUUACUACAAACUAUUAAAGUAUCAGAAUGUCUACUGCGAAUUAACGCAUUUAAAUACAACUUUCAGCAACGGAUCUCUUGGCUCUCGCAUCGAUGAAGAACGCAGCGAAAUGCGAUAAGUAAUGUGAAUUGCAGAAUUCAGUGAAUCAUCGAAUCUUUGAACGCACCUUGCGCUCCUUGGUAUUCCGAGGAGCAUGCCUGUUUGAGUGUCAUGAAAUUCUCAACCUAACGAGUCUUUGCGGGCUCGGUAGGCUUGGACUUGGAGGUUCUUGUCGGCCUAACGGUCGGCUCCUCUUAAAUGCAUUAGCUCGGUUCCUUGCGGAUCGGCUCACGGUGUGAUAAUUGUCUACGCCGCGACCGUUGAAGCGUUUUGGCCGGCUUCUAAUCGUCUCGUUGGAGACACUACUCUUUAUGACCUUCUGACCUCAAAUCAGGUAGGACUACCCGCUGAACUUAAGCAUAUCA